RNAcentral lists this ribosomal RNA (433 nucleotides) under uncultured bacterium. RNAcentral's name for it is "partial 16S ribosomal RNA". It matches the Rfam family "Bacterial small subunit ribosomal RNA", at positions 29 to 507 of the family's 1533-position model. The record is from RNAcentral.
AACGAACGCUGGCGGCAUGCCUAACACAUGCAAGUCGAACGCGGCCUUCGGGGCUUGUGGCUCACGGGUGCUUAAGGCGUGGGAAGCUGCCCUUAGGUUCGGAAUCACUCACCGAGAGGGGUGCUAAUACCAGAUAAUGUCUUAGCGCCAAAGAUUUAUCGCCUUUUGAUGGGCCCGCGUUGGGUUCGCUAGUUGGUAGAGUAAAUGCCUUUCAAGGCGAAGAUCCAUAGCUGGUCUGAGAGGCUGACCAGCCACACUGGGACUGAGAGACGGCGCAGAUUUCUACGGGAGGAAGGAGGUGGGAACAUGGGACGCCGGGCGAAUGACGGAGCUAGUAAGGUCGUGUGAGUGAUGAAGGCGUGAGGGUUGUAAAGCUGUGUUAACCGUGAUGAUAAUGACAGUACCGGGAGAAUAAGCGCCGGCUAACUCCGUG